Molecule: long non-coding RNA, 262 nt
Organism: Diprion similis
Lineage: Eukaryota; Metazoa; Arthropoda; Insecta; Hymenoptera; Diprionidae
Exons: 3
Source: RefSeq, a predicted model, not a curated record
UCUAAUUGUGGGAAUCAAUAUCAUGACAGCGGAACAUGAAGAAAACCAUAAUUUACAUACCUUCUAGUAUGUUUAGAUUUAUUAUCGAGCUUACUCGCAGACUACUAGAUUACGGAUUACUCGCACGAUCUGCAAAUAUCAUGUGAAACUAUUUGAUUCGACAAACGCUAAAUACAAUACUAUGUUACAAAAUUAUUUUCACGUUCGGGUGACUAAAAACAGUCGUAUUAUAUAUAUAUACAUAUAAUAAUAAUAAUUAAUA